This 425-nucleotide ribosomal RNA is filed under the name uncultured bacterium. RNAcentral's name for it is "partial 16S ribosomal RNA". It matches the Rfam family "Bacterial small subunit ribosomal RNA", at positions 354 to 796 of the family's 1533-position model. The record is from RNAcentral.
GUUAGGAAUAUUGGACAAUGGGCGAAAGCCUGAUCCAGCCAUGCCGCGUGAACGAUGAAGGCCUUCGGGUUGUAAAGUUCUUUAGCCGAUGAUUAUAAUGACUGUAGUCGGAAAAUAAGCCCCGGCUAACUUCGUGCCAGCAGCCGCGGUAAUACGAAGGGGGCGAGCGUUAUUCGGAAUCACUGGGCGUAAAGCGUGCGUAGGCGGUUUUGUAAGUUAGGAGUGAAAGCCCAGGGCUCAACCUAGGAAUUGGUCUUAAAACUGCAAGGCUCGAAUCUCGGAGAGGAUAGCGGAAUUUCCAGUGUAGCAGUGAAAUGCGUAGAUAUUGGAAGGAACACCAGUGGCGUAAGCGGCUAUCUGGACGAGUAUUGACGCUGAGGCACGAAAGCGUGGGGAUCAAACAGGAUUAGAAACCCCAGUAGUCC